Molecule: ribosomal RNA, 451 nt
Filed under: uncultured Fibrobacter sp.
Lineage: Bacteria; Pseudomonadati; Fibrobacterota; Fibrobacteria; Fibrobacterales; Fibrobacteraceae
Description: partial 16S ribosomal RNA
Rfam family: Bacterial small subunit ribosomal RNA
Source: RNAcentral
ACGGGAGGCAGCAGUAGGGAAUAUUGCACAAUGGGGGGAACCCUGAUGCAGCAACGCCACGUGUGGGAAGAAGCAUUUCGGUGUGUAAACCACUGUCGAUAGGGAAUAAAGCCUUCUUUCGGGGGGGUUGAAUGUACCUCGGAAGGAAGCACCGGCAAACUUCGUGCCAGCAGCCGCGGUAAUACGAGGGGUGCAAGCGUUGUUCGGAAUCACUGGGCGUAAAGGGAGCGCAGGCGGAGAUGCAAGCAGUCUGUACAAUACCGGGGCCCAACCCCGGACCUGCAGACUGGACUGUUUCUCUUGGAUAGUUCAGGGGCAAGCGGAAUUCCUGGUGUAGCGGUGGGAUGCGUAGAGAUCAGGAAGAACACCGAUGGCGAAGGCAGCUUGCUGGGGACUUAUCGACGCUCAUGCUCGAAAGUGCGGGUAGCAAACAGGAUUAGAUACCCUGGUA